CCCACACUAUGGCUCAUGCACGCGGCCGGUAAGUCCGUUCCGUGGUCCCGCAAAAAGAUAGAACAUGUCCUAUUCUUGUCCAUUUUAUGCACAAGGAUAGAACAUUUCUGCAGGAAUAAGAAAAAAUGAUGGCAUGCACUCUGCCAGGAUUCGUGUUUUGUGGAUCAGCAAUUUGCAGACUGCA
Bufo bufo (common toad) is the source of this 184-nucleotide long non-coding RNA. RefSeq lists it as uncharacterized. The record is from RefSeq and is a predicted model, not a curated record. NCBI's taxonomy places the organism in Eukaryota, Metazoa, Chordata, Amphibia, Anura, Bufonidae. The transcript has 3 exons.